CCACAGAGUCCAGUAAGUCUCUUUCUGUCCCACCCUGUACUUCCUCCCACCACAGUAUCAAAAAAUGUUCUUAAUAAAUUCCUGCACACUCUGUGACAGUGCACUUUCAACAGCACACAAUUCAAGGUGUAAUUUUACAAAUUGUGAUCUAAUAUGGCCCAGUUCAUUAAUCUAAGGAUAGUGGGAAAAGUGGCCGCAACAAAGAUGGCGCCUAUGUUCGCUCGGGCAUUUCCGGAUGCAAGAUGACGUAGGCACUAGAGGCGCUUAAAAGAGCCAUGGCGGAGAUAACAGGGAGCGAGCAAGUUCACCGGAAGCUGAGUUAUUGUGUGUUGCUGCGGCGAAUGGAUAUUAUUUCACGGUGGUAUGGAGUAUGUCGCUGUUCCUGUAAUGCAGAUUAACACGGACGGAGGAUUGGGAGCUGCUCUUUACUUCGGAAAGCUGGUGGAGGUGAGACCAUCACUGCUUUGGGGAAGAAACCUGUAGCGUGACACACCAGCUCUGGAGAAGAGGCUUCUUCCUGGAACAGUGACAUCUCAGGACGAACUGCAGAGACACACAGAGACAGAAAUAUUAAAAAUACCUGUGAGACUUAUUUAGAAGUGUGUCAGACAUCCUUUUGUAAUGCAGUGAGAUUUUCUUGCCAAUUAUCUACAUUUUUUGGCUGUACAGAUGUAAUCACAGCAAAUAGCCAGGAUACCCACACAACUGUGAGGGCAAUAUCGAUUUUACACAACAAUUCAAUUAAAUAAAUUAACAUUGAGUUACUUCAGA
This is a long non-coding RNA of Tachysurus fulvidraco (yellow catfish), 771 nucleotides long. RefSeq lists it as uncharacterized. The record is from RefSeq and is a predicted model, not a curated record. The transcript has 3 exons. Lineage: Eukaryota; Metazoa; Chordata; Actinopteri; Siluriformes; Bagridae.